This 74-nucleotide transfer RNA is filed under the name marine sediment metagenome. RNAcentral's name for it is "tRNA-Gly". It matches the Rfam family "tRNA". From Rfam's summary of the family: Transfer RNA (tRNA) molecules are approximately 80 nucleotides in length. Their secondary structure includes four short double-helical elements and three loops (D, anti-codon, and T loops). The record is from RNAcentral.
GCCUCAGUAGCUCAAUGGUAGAGCUUCUGGCUUCCAACCAGAUGACGCGAGUCCGAUUCUCGCCUGGGGUUCCA